UGAAUGACUCCCGGCAAUGGAUAUCUUGGCUCUCGUGUCCAUUAAAAACGUAACGAAAUGCCACACUUGGUGUGAAUUGCAAAAUCCCCUGAAUCAUCCAGUCUUUGAAUGCAAGUUGCGCUCCAGGCCAUUAAGUCCAAAGCACCUCUGCUUGGGCGUCAUGC
Molecule: ribosomal RNA, 164 nt
Filed under: Allium heldreichii
Lineage: Eukaryota; Viridiplantae; Streptophyta; Magnoliopsida; Asparagales; Amaryllidaceae
Description: 5.8S ribosomal RNA
Rfam family: 5.8S ribosomal RNA
About the family: 5.8S ribosomal RNA (5.8S rRNA) is a component of the large subunit of the eukaryotic ribosome. It is transcribed by RNA polymerase I as part of the 45S precursor that also contains 18S and 28S rRNA. Functionally, it is thought that 5.8S rRNA may be involved in ribosome translocation.
Source: RNAcentral